GAGGAUAUAGCUCAGUAGUAGAGCACAUGCUUAGCAUGCAUAAGGUCCUGGGUUCAAUCCCCAGUACCUCCA
RNAcentral lists this transfer RNA (72 nucleotides) under Camelus ferus (Wild Bactrian camel). It matches the Rfam family "tRNA". Rfam says of the family: Transfer RNA (tRNA) molecules are approximately 80 nucleotides in length. Lineage: Eukaryota; Metazoa; Chordata; Mammalia; Artiodactyla; Camelidae. The record is from Rfam by way of RNAcentral.